RNAcentral lists this transfer RNA (74 nucleotides) under Candidatus Dadabacteria bacterium. RNAcentral's name for it is "tRNA-Gln". It matches the Rfam family "tRNA". Rfam says of the family: Transfer RNA (tRNA) molecules are approximately 80 nucleotides in length. Their secondary structure includes four short double-helical elements and three loops (D, anti-codon, and T loops). RNAcentral also lists the same sequence under 1 other name. The record is from RNAcentral. Lineage: Bacteria; Pseudomonadati; Thermodesulfobacteriota; Candidatus Dadabacteria.
UGGGGCAUAGUAUAACGGUAGUACUAUGGACUCUGGAUCCAUCAGUCUAGGUUCGAAUCCUAGUGCCCCAGCCA